RNAcentral lists this ribosomal RNA (110 nucleotides) under uncultured eukaryote. RNAcentral's name for it is "partial small subunit ribosomal RNA". It matches the Rfam family "Eukaryotic small subunit ribosomal RNA", at positions 1676 to 1785 of the family's 1831-position model. The record is from RNAcentral.
UCGCUCCUACCGAUUGAGUGAUCCGGUGAAUUAUUAGGACUACUCUAUGCGACAGUCUUCUGUUGUAUGGAGUGGGAAUUCUUGUGAACCUUAUCACUUAGAGGAAGGAG